UACGGGGGGGUGCGAGCGUUGUCCGGAAUCACUGGGCGUAAAGGGCGCGUAGGUGGUCUGAUAAGGGUGUGGUGAAAGCCCGGGGCUCAACCCCGGGUCGGCCGUGCCGACUGUUAGACUAGAGUACUGUAGGGGCAGGCGGAAUUCCGGGUGUAGCGGUGGAAUGCGUAGAGAUCGGAAAGAACACCAACGGCGAAAGCACUCUGCUGGGCCGACACUGACACUGAGAGACGAAAGCUAGGGGAGCGAAUGGG
This 254-nucleotide ribosomal RNA is filed under the name uncultured bacterium. Its description in RNAcentral is "partial 16S ribosomal RNA". It matches the Rfam family "Bacterial small subunit ribosomal RNA", at positions 524 to 776 of the family's 1533-position model. The record is from RNAcentral.